Molecule: ribosomal RNA, 468 nt
Filed under: uncultured bacterium
Lineage: Bacteria
Description: partial 16S ribosomal RNA
Rfam family: Bacterial small subunit ribosomal RNA
Source: RNAcentral
GACGAACGCUGGCGGCGUGCUUAACACAUGCAAGUCGAACGGAAAGGCCCUGCUUUUGUGGGGUGCUCGAGUGGCGAACGGGUGAGUAACACGUGAGUAACCUGCCCUUGACUUUGGAAUAACUUCAGGAAACUGGGGCUAAUACCGGAUAGGAGCUCCUGCUGCAUGGUGGGGGUUGGAAAGUUUCGGCGGUUGGGGAUGGACUCGCGGCUUAUCAGCUUGUUGGUGGGGUAGUGGCUUACCAAGGCUUUGACGGGUAGCCGGCCUGAGAGGGUGACCGGCCACAUUGGGACUAAGAUACGGCCCAGACUCCUACGGGAGGCAGCAGUGGGGAAUAUUGCACAAUGGGCGGAAGCCUGAUGCAGCAACGCCGCGUGCGGGAUGACGGCCUUCGGGUUGUAAACCGCUUUCGCCUGUGACGAAGCGUGAGUGACGGUAAUGGGUAAAGAAGCACCGGCUAACUACGUG